RNAcentral lists this ribosomal RNA (494 nucleotides) under uncultured bacterium. Its description in RNAcentral is "bacterial SSU rRNA". It matches the Rfam family "Bacterial small subunit ribosomal RNA", at positions 915 to 1401 of the family's 1533-position model. The record is from RNAcentral.
GGGGACCCGCACAAGCGGUGGAGUAUGUUCUUUAAUUCGAUGCAACGCGAAGAACCUUACCUGGGCUUGACAUCACCGAAAUCACCUUUAUACGGUGAGUGCCUCGAUUUAUCGAGGAAUCGUGUGACAGGUGCUGCAUGGCUGUCGUCAGUUCGUGUCGUGAGAUGUUGGGUUAAGUCCCGCAACGAACGCAACCCCUGUCUUUAGUUACCAGCAUUAAGUUGGGGACUCUAGAGAGACUGCCAAGGUGACAACUUGGAGGAAGGUGGGGACGACGUCAAGUCAUCAUGGUCCUUACGUCCAGGGCUAGAAACGUACUACAAUGGUUGGCACAGAGGGGAGCAACACAGCGAUGUGAAGCAAAUCCUUAAAACCAACCUCAGUUCGGAUUGGAGUCUGCAACUCGACNCCAUGAAGUUGGAAUCGCUAGUAAUCGCGGAUCAGCAAUGCCGCGCUGAAUACGUUCCCGGGUCUUGUACACACCGCCCGUCAAG